UCCUCCUUAGCUCAGUUGGUUAGAGCAUCUGACUGUUAAUCAGAGGGCCGCUGGUUCAAGUCCAGCAGGAGGAGCCA
RNAcentral lists this transfer RNA (77 nucleotides) under Marinilabiliales bacterium. RNAcentral describes it as "tRNA-Asn". It matches the Rfam family "tRNA". Rfam says of the family: Transfer RNA (tRNA) molecules are approximately 80 nucleotides in length. Their secondary structure includes four short double-helical elements and three loops (D, anti-codon, and T loops). Lineage: Bacteria; Pseudomonadati; Bacteroidota; Bacteroidia; Marinilabiliales. The record is from RNAcentral.